UCUGUGGUUCACCCACAAUCCAGCAUCACCAAGAGAUCACUAGUGAACUCUUCUCGGGUCUGAGCACCAAGAUGACAGCUACAGAGGCUUCAGUGGAAAUGUUAAAAACAGACCUUAGAUUCACAGAUGGACUGGAAAAAGCUGAACCUGAUUCUUUGAUAUCAUCAUCAUGGAUCAGGUCAUUGCUGGGUUGAAUGGGAUACAGCUGUGGGGAUAAAAAGCUGCUCAUACAGAGGACCAGCAUGGGAUCCAAGAACACCAAGCUGAGCACCAGCAAUCAGACACCAGUGAUGCUGUAGGUGCCUGGCCUGAUGAGCUCACAGGUAAAAGUCUUCAAGAAAAGUUUCUAGCAGUUAUAUAUCCUGUAACUCCUAUCAAAAUUUAUUCGUGCUUUUCUAUUAUCUCAGUCCUAAUUUCAAAUGUCAUUGCACUUGCUGUAAUUUUGUCACAAAAAAAUAAGGAGCAGACCUUAGAGAACUCUGUGUUGUCUUCCUGCCCAAAAGAUUGGAUAGCAUUUGGAAGCCAGUGUUUAUAUUUUGCUGAAGAUAUGGGGAAUUGGACAUUCAGCCAGACCUUUUGCGCUAACUUUGAAGCCGGUAUUGGUCAGUUUGAAAGCCAGGAGGAACUGCAGAAUUUCCUGAAAAGAUAUAAAGGUCUUUCUGAUUAUUGGACUGGCCUUAACAGAAAAGCAUCAUAUCACAUAUGGAAGUGGACAAACAACACUAAAUGUAAAACCUGAUUUUAGGUUUUCCAUCAAAGGAUUUGGAGGAUGUACCUACCUGAAUGGUAAUGGGAUCAGCAGUGCCAGGAACUACACAGAGAGUGUCGUUACACCCUCUCUUCCACAAAAAAAUCUUAAUUAAGCUUCUCCAGAAACCCUUACCAUAAUUAUUCUUAGACUUUUGGCAAAAAUUCCUGCAAAAGAAUUCUCAGGUGAAGGUAUGUUUGCAGAAGCAUUGUGAGAUAAGACUUAUCCAAGGCCUUCACAGAAACAUUCGCAUUUUAAAAAAAGUCUGGCCAAGACUGUCCAUGGGCAGGGAGAACCUAGGCUACAACAAACCCCACCACUACAGCCCACCACUGGUGCUGAAAGUUGGAGCAAGUGAAGCCAGAAUUAGACAGGCAGUCAUUGUAGAUAGGUAGAUCGAGUCAGUUGGGUCUUGGAGGCUAAUUUUGAGUGAGUCUGGGAAGUUGAAGACUGUGUUACCCCUUCCUCACCCCCAGAGAUCUUAUCAAGAACCUGCCCC
Molecule: long non-coding RNA, 1247 nt
Organism: Marmota flaviventris (yellow-bellied marmot)
Lineage: Eukaryota; Metazoa; Chordata; Mammalia; Rodentia; Sciuridae
Source: RefSeq, a predicted model, not a curated record